GAUGUCCAUAGGCAAAUGCAAUAAUAAUUAGCUUUUAAGAGAAAUCUAAUUUGAGUAAGGAAAGAUGAUAGGAUAGAUAAAUAUCUUUAUAUGAUUAGUUAAAUGUGAAUUUGAGCCUCUUUAGUUUUUCUUUCAUUAUUUAUUAUCCUUCAUAAUAUUUUAAAUAUUUCUUCCGUUUCUUUUUAACGUUUUUAUUUGUUUGUUAAAUCUGUAGUUUGUAGAUUUUUACUAAAGUAUUUAUACUCGCCGCAUCGCGCGGGUCCCUACGCUAGUUUAUAUGACACAUAAACCAAUUUACAUUAUUUUUAGUUAAAUUAUAUUUUAAAAUUUAUUUAAUUAAUAAUUAAGAGAAUAAAAUAAUACAAAUAUUUUAAUUAGAAUUUAUUAUUA
This 390-nucleotide long non-coding RNA is filed under the name Ananas comosus (pineapple). Its description in RNAcentral is "long non-coding RNA (ACOM_LNC019399)". Lineage: Eukaryota; Viridiplantae; Streptophyta; Magnoliopsida; Poales; Bromeliaceae. The record is from RNAcentral.